This 26-nucleotide non-coding RNA is filed under the name Rattus norvegicus (Norway rat). Lineage: Eukaryota; Metazoa; Chordata; Mammalia; Rodentia; Muridae. The record is from RNAcentral.
UAAAGCACCAUCAGGCCUGCGCAUCC